Molecule: long non-coding RNA, 292 nt
Filed under: Capsicum annuum
Lineage: Eukaryota; Viridiplantae; Streptophyta; Magnoliopsida; Solanales; Solanaceae
Description: long non-coding RNA (CANN_LNC001024)
Source: RNAcentral
AUUUCUGUUCUCUAUCUUUUUCUUCUUUUUCUUUUUGUCUUUGUUCAUACAGUUCUUUUAACAUUUGUAAUUCUUUUUCUAAUUCAGCAAUUCUACUAUUUUUGGUUUCUUCUAUUUUUCGUAUUUCUUCCGUAGUUUGUUGUUUUAUUUUUUCUAUUUCUUUUUUCCUAUCUAUCUCUUCAUUUUCUUUUUCUAUUCUUACCAUUGCUGUUAAUUUAUCUUCUAAUUUUAAUUCUUCUUUUUCCAACAUUAGAUAUAAAUGUUCACCUAUUUUCUUAUAUCUUCAUCCUAG